RNAcentral lists this ribosomal RNA (346 nucleotides) under uncultured Methanomicrobiales archaeon. RNAcentral's name for it is "bacterial SSU rRNA". It matches the Rfam family "Archaeal small subunit ribosomal RNA", at positions 993 to 1338 of the family's 1478-position model. The record is from RNAcentral. Lineage: Archaea; Methanobacteriati; Methanobacteriota; Methanomicrobia; Methanomicrobiales.
CAUGGCCGUCGUCAGUUCGUACUGUGAAGCAUCCUGUUAAGUCAGGCAACGAGCGAGACCCACGCCAACAGUUGCCAGCUCGUCCUCCGGGAUGGUGGGGACACUGUUGGGACCGCCUCUGCUAAAGAGGAGGAAGGAAUGGGCAACGGUAGGUCAGCAUGCCCCGAAUUAUCUGGGCUACACGCGGGCUACAAUGGGUGGGACAAUGGGUAUCGACACCGAAAGGUGAAGGCAAUCUCCUAAACCCAUCCGUAGUUCGGAUUGUGGGCUGCAACUCGCCCACAUGAAGCUGGAAUCUGUAGUAAUCGUGUCUCAAAAUGGCACGGUGAAUAUGUCCCUGCUCCUU